ACAGAUAAAUAUGAAAAGAUUGUUGAGGCUUUAUUUUUGCUCAUACACCAGAAAUAAUAUUUUUUCAUGGAAUCAAGAAGCAUAUUUCUUAUCUCUUAAUUUCUUCCUCUCAGCAACAACAUCCCCAAAUGAUGCUGAUGUUGCCGCUGUUGCCAGCCGAAUUGAGGAGCUGGUGGCAAGUGUUAAGAGGAGGUCCCAGCGUCUUUACAAGGAUAGUGACGGAUGCAAAGGGACGUGCCCGAAUCCGCCGAAAGAUCAGGGAGGAAAAAUCUUAAAUUCUGUAGUGGAAAAAGUACAACACCUUGGUUCCUAAUGCAGAAAAACUGUCAUUGGACACCAUUCUAUCUGACGAGAUUGUUUGGCCAUGGCAGCUUACACACGGUGGUAUGUACACAAUUCCAUUGUCACAUAGUGGGACAAAAUCUGUCAUGCCUCGAUUUUACACCUGAAAAUCUCUAAAUACUAAUCUCAAAUACAACCGACUUAUGUUUCAUCUAUGUAUUCCAGACUCUGUUGAUCUAAGGACAAAGAGGAAGGCAUUCGACAUUGUGAUGGCAGUAAGGAGACUUGAGGAGGAGAAGAGGAUUCUUAUUGCAGAGAUGAACAAGCAUUGGAAGUCUCUUUGCUCCCGUGCAGACACCCUGAAGCAGAUGUCAUCCAAGCUUUCUAAUGUGACAUCAGGUGAGACUUGGGGCCUGCUUCAAGAUGGUAUCCGAGGUCUACAAAGCUUGACGAUGAAGAACAAGCGAGCAAGCAACAGCCUGGCAAAGCAUGCAAAGAAAUAUUAUGUUCAAGUUCUGACUGAAACAGAAAUUAACUUUGAUAGUGAUUCUGAGGAAUACCAUACCAGUAGUGACUCUGAGCAAGAUUAAACAUGGCCAGAGUCCUUUUUUUAUGCUGUUGUGUGCUGGGGAGGCAGCAUUAAAGAAGAGGGCCGCUGGGACAGGUUGUUAAGGAAAGCUGGCUCUGUGUUUGGCAUGGAGCUGGAGUUAAUUAUUUAACAAACUGAGGAUAAUUUGCAGUAGCAGUCUUCUGUCAUGCUCAACAUUGAGGAGGUCCUUUGUCCCCAGGGCAUACCAGCAACUCAAUGUCACAGAAAAGGUUAGGGGAGAAAUUGACUUUUCAGCAUGAGUCUCACCCUGCGCCAACCAUUACAUCGCUUUGUCUAUUGUCUAGUAUCCACUAUCCAUUUGACUGUCUUACAGGCUACAUUAGCCCCUCUACACAUUCUGAACUGUGGUUUCAACAUUUACCCCUGUUGGCUUGUAUAAUCUUUUUUCUUUUUUAUAUAUAUAUUUAAGUUUCUGUUUUUCUAUCUAUUUUAACUUCUUUGUAUUGUUUUUUUGUUAAGCAAUACUAUUAUGCUCAGACUCUUUUUUCCAUAGUCAUAUUAAACAUGCACAGCUUUGCACUGAUUAAAUCCCUGCACUGUUUACUUUUUGCACUACCACCACUGCAAAUCACUCUAUAGUUGCCCAUCAUGUAUCACAGGGUCAGUCCCUACCAGGCCUUUGUAAUCACUUGACAUGCUCUUCACUUUUUACAUUUGUGAUUUUUGUUAUGUGUCUGAGUUGUGUGUUGUUUUUGUGGUUGUAUAAGCUAAUAAAUGCCUAAAAUGUGGUGUGUCGUCUUAAGUAGCCUACUGUGUCUGUACUAGGGGGAAGAAGACAUUUCAUCAUGACAGUUUCCUCCAUCUCCUAGAGACAUCUUACAUGGAUACACAGAUAACAUUU
Cyprinus carpio carpio is the source of this 1733-nucleotide long non-coding RNA. NCBI's taxonomy places the organism in Eukaryota, Metazoa, Chordata, Actinopteri, Cypriniformes, Cyprinidae. The record is from Ensembl.